RNA transcript from Juglans microcarpa x Juglans regia, 1232 nucleotides. RefSeq lists it as uncharacterized. The transcript is spliced from 3 exons. NCBI's taxonomy places the organism in Eukaryota, Viridiplantae, Streptophyta, Magnoliopsida, Fagales, Juglandaceae. The record is from RefSeq and is a predicted model, not a curated record.
GUUUCUUUCAGCGAAUUAAAACAUCAGUUUCUGCAUGACGACAAUGCUGCACCAUUCUCUACUCUAAAACCUGCUCUGGCUCUAGCUUAAAAGCUCCAUUAGUAGCAAUCGGCGGCAAUGAGGAACAUAGAACAUUGCGCUGACCAAGUCUCUUCUUCAUAAAUGAAACAUCAAAUGUGGGAUGAAACCUAGCAGGAGGGGGAAGAUCUAAUCGGUAGGCAACUGAUCCACUCCAUUCCAAAAUCUUGUAAGGCCUAUAGAACCGUGGUGAAAGCUUCGAAUUUCAACAAGCAACCAUGGAAUGUUAACGAUAAGGCUAUAAUUGAAGCUAUUUAACCCCAUAGGGCAGGUGUUGUCACCUUGGCCUCUUUGGUUGCAUGCAGCUUAGCAGACCACUUUAUCACCUCUAUAUAAAGUGAAGUUGUCUCAGAGUCUAUACAGAAAUCCAUCCCUCACACCUCAGUUAUGAAGUUUUUCUUUCCUUUUUUCUUCUUACAUGAUCCUAGAAAUAAUUUUAGUUUCAAAAUAGAAAUUCAGUGAUUCCAUGAUUCUAGCUUGUUGAAACCAUGGAAGAAUUUCCUUAUCAGAAUGCUGCAAAGAGAAAAUCCCCUUCUUGUUGUGUGAAUACUUGGCAUCAAUGGUACAUAAUACCAUGUCUUCUGGAUGGACAUAAGGUGGGCUCUGAUCAACUUGAUAUUGCCAAAGAGGUGAGAAACAAACCAGACAUGGCGUCAAAAUUGGUCAAGUUCAUCAAUUUCAACAGCUCUCUUUUUCUCACAUUCCAAACAUUCUGCAAACCGAAUUUUAAAACUUCUUAAAACAACAAAAGUAUAUCACACGACACACAUGAGGGAAACUUCAACAACACCAUCCCCACUUGGGCACCAACUUAUCUCUCAAAGAUGAGGCGACCACGAAGAACCGACACUAGUUCUCUACUUAUGGACCAUUGAGUUCCUCUUCAAAUAUUCGAUCUACAUCAACCUCUCUACAUUUCACUGCAUGCAGACCCCAUUGCAUAUAUGCUUUCAAAGGUCAGGUGUUCUCUAUAAAUUUUGUACUUCAAUCUUGGCUGUAUAUAGUUUUAUGUUCUUUUUCUCUCUCUCACUUCUAGAGGGAGUUGAGUUUGUAAAGAGAUACUUGAUUUGCCCGUGUGGUGAGAACAUGCAAUAUAUAUUAUGAUAGUUAUAUAUACUAGAUUCUAAUAUAAUCGCAUAAUUUAUUGAAGAUUA